RNAcentral lists this long non-coding RNA (288 nucleotides) under Hordeum vulgare. RNAcentral's name for it is "long non-coding RNA (HVUL_LNC001239)". Lineage: Eukaryota; Viridiplantae; Streptophyta; Magnoliopsida; Poales; Poaceae. The record is from RNAcentral.
ACUCCUCAGUCAAUAUCCAAUAGCGGGACCUGGAUGCCCAUAUUGGAUCCUACAUAUUCUACGAAGAUCUUAUCGUUUGAACCUCAGUGCCAAGGAUUCAUAUAAUCCCGUAUGUCAUUCCCUUUGUCCUUCGGUAUGUUACUUGCCUGAGAUUCGAUCGUCAGUAUCCGCAUACCUAUUUCAAUCUCGUUUACCGACAAGUCUCUUUACUCGUUCUGUAAUACAAGAUCCCGCAACUUACACUAAGUCACAUUUCUUGCAAGGCUUGUGUGUGAUGUUGUAUUACCG